AAAACCAGUAACUAAAACCCUUGAAAACCCCUGCUUUCUCUGAGAUUGAAGCUGAAAAACAAAUGGGGAGGGUCAAAAAUAGAAUUGACUAUGAAAAUCUUAGAAAUGCUCGCAUCUUAGAAAACCAGGCUCGAUUGUCCUCUCUGGGGCUACAAAAAACUCUAUCUGAUCUUCGAUCCCUCACUUCUUCUGCGAAAGCGGAGAAGGGAAGGACCCAGAAGAGAAAACAUGAUAAAAAAGUUUAUGGGACCACUGAUUUACGUCGCUCUGAUCGAUUGAAGCAUAUUGCCACCAACUCAUCAGCCCUCAAGGCUCUCCCUAUGAGGCGUUCUAAUCGCCUGAGAGCAGAAUCUAGCGAACCCAUUUCAUCGAAGAAAGUUGUAGUAGUUAAAGGAAAUACUGAUUAUGAGAGUGAAGAAGAGAGUUCAGAUGGAGAGAAAAGGCCUGCAAAUGCCCCAUUUGUGAAGAUAAAGGGUGUGAAUCUUCUUUCUCUGUCGCCUGAGGCUUCGGCUCGACGCUGCCACAGCAAGGGCAGAGGCUCCAUCUAUGACCCUGUUUUUGGGAUUUGCUGCCAUUUCUGCAGACAAAAGAAAUUGUGUGGGGAAGAAGAUUGCAAGCGUUGUGGUACUCUUGAUCCAGAUCAGCCAUGCAUAGGAAAAACAGACUGUUCAGUAUGCCAUUCCACAAAUGGUGUUUUCUGUCGAGCUUGUCUCAAAGUUAGGUAUGGCGAAGGUAAGCUUUUAAAAAUUAUACACUCUUGUAGCCCUUGUAAGCUUUAAAACUUUUAAAGAAGGAGCCUCAGAUAUAAUACUAAAUGAAAGAGGAAAGAAGUGGCAUUUGGGAUCAUAAUCUAUGUUGUUCUUGAAAAUUUCUAAUUUUUCAUUCAAAUCUUGGUCAUGAUGCUUUGCUUUUUUAGAAAUGGAGGAGGUAAGAGAGAACAGGGAGUGGAUGUGCCCUCAUUGCAUAGAAGAAAGAGGAAUAAAGCCUUUCUGGAUAUGUAACAGUUCACUGUGCUUAAAGAAGCGAAAGAUGGCACCAACUGGGAUUGCAAUAUUCAAAGCUAGAGAAAUGGGAUAUGAAUCAGUAGCACAUCUGUUAAUGGAGGAGCUUAAACGAAGAAACAAACUAAAGUCACUAUGAGGAUGAUGUUCUUCUUCCCCUUCAAGAAUCAAGAUCAACAUGCUUCAAGAAUCAAGAUCAACAUGUAACUAGAAACUAAUAUCAGGGCACCUAAAGUAGCAGAAGGUGGGAAUUAUUUUGGUGAUGAUGUAUUAACUAACAAUGACAAAUGCAUCAAUGCAUGUAUCUUUUGUAUUUUGCUGCAUUGCUUUUGGCAUGCUUAUUUUCUUCCUCUGUAACAUGCUUGCUGGGUUGUAGAUGUUGGGCUAUGGUUAGCUUCAUUUAUCAAGAAACUUGUUAUUGAGAAACUGUGUCUUUUUCAAUGUCUGGAAUGAAAAUCACGUUGUAUUUUUUAUAAUUUCCUUUAAUAUUAAAUGAUUGGUUCUGAAAU
Molecule: unclassified non-coding RNA, 1510 nt
Filed under: Hevea brasiliensis (rubber tree)
Lineage: Eukaryota; Viridiplantae; Streptophyta; Magnoliopsida; Malpighiales; Euphorbiaceae
Source: RNAcentral